UACGUAGGGGGCAAGCGUUGUCCGGAUUUAUUGGGCGUAAAGCGCGUGUAGGCGGCCAUGUAGGUCUGACGUGAAAUUCCGAGGCUCAACCUCAGCAGGUCGUUGGAAACCAUAUGGCUAGAGUCCGGAAGAGGAGAGUGGAAUUCCUGGUGUAGCGGUGAAAUGCGCAGAUAUCAGGAAGAACACCAAUGGCGAAGGCAGCUCUCUGGGACGGUACUGACGCUGAGACGCGAAAGCGUGGGGAGCGAACAGG
Molecule: ribosomal RNA, 253 nt
Filed under: uncultured bacterium
Lineage: Bacteria
Description: partial 16S ribosomal RNA
Rfam family: Bacterial small subunit ribosomal RNA
Source: RNAcentral